UACAUUCCCACCAAUAAAGUAGGAGGGUUCCCUUUUCUCCACACCCUCUCCAUCAUUUAUCGUUUUCCGUAUAAAACGUACCUGUCACCCAAGCUCCACUGCUUCUUGUCUAUUUCAAACCUGGAAUCUUCGACCAUUACUGAGUUGAGCAGAGCCUGGCUCCUGUGCUCACAAUUCCAGCGCGUGUGCCAGUCCCCUCUCCUGGGCGCGGGUGGAGGGGGAGUGACAGCAACUUAGCACCCGUGCUGGGUGGGGCUUCCUGCUUGUCUGUGCCCAAUGCACAGUGCAGCCUGUGCUUCCUCCUGGACUCCCCUCCACGCUCUGAAGAAGCCCCCGGACUGUCUGUGCUUUACAGGUGAGACGACUGGAGCACAGAAUUGCGGUCACUUAGGGCCACCCCACACAGCCCACCUUCCACGCCUGCCUUCCUAGGCUGACCGCAAUGACCUGAAGCAUUUUGUUAACACUUUUCCAAGGGAGAGAAUCCCUUCUGAGCAUGUACCUGAGUGUUGCUUUAAAGUUGUAAAAAAAAAUUAAUCAUAAAUAAAAAUCUUGAUGUCAUUUUAAAAGAAUUCAACAUUUUGGACAAUGAACCUGAAAGUUCGCAGAGUUCGUGCCUGGUGUCACUCCGGCUCAAGGCUGGAGAUGCGUGGGGGCUUCUCUGUGACAGUGUUUUCUUAGCACAGCCGGUCCUGGUCCUCCCGGGGCACUUGUGCCUGGAAAUACAGAAAGGAAGGCCAAGAGAAUCAGUUGUGCCGAACAAACCAGCAGAAUCUGAAGUGUGGCUAGUCAAACUGAGAAUUCAGAAGGAAGGAAAUCAGAUCUUCACCCCAAUUCCUUUACGUCUUCAAGUGCGGUGUUGGGAGGGGCCAGAUGUGGCCACAAUGCAGCCAUGAGAAAGAGGGUCCAUGAAAAUGCAGUGUUUUCUCUCCGUCCAGUUAGCUUUGGUUCCGGGAAGGGAUAGGCACGAGGUGCACUGGGCAAACCACAAUUCGCCGCAUCCCAUUUCUGACCUCGUGGUGCAGGUGGCCGGCCUGGGGAGGGGGGAGGGGGGGCAGGAACGAGAGUGCAGAGGGUGGGGCGGAAACAGGCUCCUGGCUUUGCCCCUUCGGGGUAGGACAUCAGACACGACACCGUCUUGUGGCCACACUUCUUUCUGGUUGUGCCCCUCUUGACGUGGUCUUUAGACUCACACACCCUAAAGUGUCCCUGUGUAAGAGUGGACGUGGGUGCCCAGUUAAAGUCCCACUUUGUGAGCAGUCAUCUUGAGAUGCAGGGAACGGGGCGAAGAUGGUCUUAAAAACCAAGGGAGGUGUCUUGUGUUUAUCUCAAGACCUGAGCAGCGAGAGGUGCGCGGAGGUGGAGGAGAGGGUCCUCAUGCUCCUCCCCCCACCCCCACCCCAACCCCCGGCUUCCCCUUUUCCUGUCCCUGCCCUCCAGCCUCUCCCAGAGCCCUGGACCCCGGGGCCCUGUUGGCAUCUUUGCUCAGAGGAAGCUCAGAUUGCAAGCCCUUCUGGCCCUGGUUUCUGAGAACAGCAGAGAUAAUCCCCAGUGUCCUGUUGGUGCGACUGUCCGGGGUCAGAUCUCGCACCAGCGGCGUCUUUGCUUUCCCUUGCACCCCCGCAGCAGAGGAGGGAACGUGCACGUGUAAGCAUCUCAGGAGACCACUUAGAAACCCCAAGAAAUUCAUCUCCAGAGUGAAAACGCUUCUGCCUCAUGUGGAUCUGGCCACCUGGAGAAGCUGUCCCCUCUCCUGGUCAACUGCCCUUGGAGGGACUGUGGCGUCUGGAAAUGUCUAAGACGAGGGUGAGGGGAAGGUGGGGGCAGGGGCCAGGGGGAUGCAGUGUGUCGUCAGUUCUCAGGGGUCUGAGAGUUAACUACAGCCCAGGGAGAAAGGCCUCCCUCUCGGACUUGGCGCCACCGUAUCUGCUGGGAGCAGAUAAGAUGCACUGAUUGGUCUCGGUGAGAGCACCGGACAGGCUGCUGGGAGGCAGGCGAGGAACCAGCGUCCAUGGCACCACUGGCUCCCUGCUCCUCCUCUUUCUGGAAGUGGAGGAUGGGAAGCAGUCUCUGCCUUUGAGGUUUCCCCAGGCUUUUCGCUAAACAGCCCAGAGACCGGAAGGCUCUCCACACUGCCUGCGGAGGGCGGGUCCUCCAGGGGCCCAGAGCCGUCUUGGUGCCCUGUACGUGUGUCAGGCUCUCCACGGAGCUCCUGGAUUCCCGGGAGGGGUCGUCAGUGUUGGAAUCCGUGUUGGGUUUUUAGCUUUUACGUCAGAAAUACCUGAUGCCUUCCCACCUGCUUUGUGAUGUCUGCAUUCCCUGAGCUUCUCCACUACUGUUGGAAUUUCACCUGAAAAGCUGCAAGCUUUUAUAGCAACCCUCUGGAGCACAGGAAUCUUUGUCCUGUGUGCAGAGGGAGUCUGGUGAGGUCGGUGGAGGCUGAGGAGCACCUGCAGUUGCGGCGGGCCUGGAGCUGGUGAGGACACGUCCUUUGUCAACAGAUGAAAGCACAGGUCUGCGAGAGAAGGGACAGGCCUGCGGUCACUCUGCAGGCCGGAGGCGAGGGGGCUCAUCCCUGCACAACUUCGGGGCCGCGCUGCUGUUCCAGCCUCUGCUGGCCCCGCCAGCGCCCCAGGGUCCCCGGGGAGCAGUUCUGCAGAGGACUCAGAGUCAGCCGAUUAGGAAACAUUGAAAGAGAUGACUUCAAACACCCCUUCCUUCCGGCUUCCAGAUUCUGAAUGUAAUUUCUAAGCUUCCUUCCCGGAAAAGGAGCUGUUCUCACCACAGUGGGGGUUCAGGAGCAGAGCAGUGAGUUCAGAUCUAAAAGUCGGGGCGGGGGUGGUUUGUAAGAGAAACCAGAUCUUUUCACAUCUCCUUAAAGGGUUCAUCCACCAGGAUCACUGGGGCUCCAGCCUGGUCCUGAGGUUCUUCACGGAGAAGAGCAGGGAGGGCAGGAGGGGCUCUGAGGGUCAGGACAUUGGAGAAGGAGGCCAGGCUGGGGGAGGUGGGGGGGAGGGGGAGGAGAGCCGGCACCGCGCCCUCUGCUUGGGCAUCUCCGCUGAGGCCUCCAGUGGGACAUCACAGUUCUGCUUGAACACAGGGCCCGGAAGAGUCACAAAUCCUUCCUGAAACACGGGUAAGAUCCCUGAAUGGAUCCAGCUGGAGCGGUUUGAGACCAGCCUUGGUCCUUACGUAAUUUACUCCUGAAAUAACAAACGUCCCGCCUCCCCAGUACCCCAGCCAGGCAGACACACAGGUGACUGCCUCUCCCCUGGGACUCAGAGUCAGCCUGCCCAGUGGAGGCGUGGGCUAUGUGUCAAAGCACUUCCAGAAAAGCCGGUCGGGGAGCAGGCAGGCCCUGCCCCUCCCUGCUGGCCCGGCAGGACCCGCCCCGGGCCACAGCCUGGAUCCCCGCCCCAGAGUCUCAGCUGAAACUGGGGCCCGGACCUUAAUACGAGGCCUCUUAAACAUAGGGAGUUUGCAAUCCAAGACUCAUCUAAGGUGGAAAAGCAGGUGCUUGUGGCAGUUUGGACCCUCUGGAGCCUGGAGAAAAGCUGGACCCUUUUCAGAUCACGAAGGAAACCAAGCAAACUGCAGUUCUGAUUGCCCGUUCUGCCCAGUCUCAGGCACGGGUACUGCACUGAUGUGGUCCAGCCUCCAACCAUGCCCACCAGUGAGGCUGGUUCUCCACAUUCUCAGCGGCAGGUCAGGAAACGCCCUGAGGGGUUAAGGCAUCACCCCAAGGGAGUGUGACCUGGGCACAGUGGGUUCACGUGCAUUUCUAGUGAAACAGGUGCUAAGACAGACAGCGCAGGUCGUCAAAACGCAGCUCCUUAAAUGCCGUGAGACGCACAAACCGUUUACUCACUUGUAUGGAGACGUGCACGUGAUUGAGAACUUGGGGUGAGGGGACUUCUAAGCAGAAGCUUAAUAAACUUGGAAUCCCAAGGUGAGCAUAAAAUUAAGCCACUUGGCCACUUAUACCAUUAAUUCUUUUCAAAAAGAUUAAAUUACGCCUUUUUUUGGCUUCAGGGCCUUGGAAGGUGAGACUGCUUUUCAGAAAUGACCCUCCGCUCAUGUGGAGCCUGUCCGCGGACCUGCCCUUGCUCCUCACAGUGGCUCCAGAAGCGAGUUCUCUGGAAGUGGUGUCAGAAUUAAAAAGGUAGAUCUUCUGCACCUUUAAAAUGUUCCUGUACAUAGAAGGAGGUUCACAGAUGCCGCUGACACCGUCUGGGACACCACCUUCCCCUCACUCAGUGUGGGGACACUGUGUUUUGUCUGUACCAGCCGUGCGUAUGCCUUCCAGCACGGCGGAGGCCAGCGUCCACGCGGUUCCCUGGUCCCUGAACUCUGCGACCAGCCCAGCCUCGCCCAGUGUUUUCAAGUCGUCAGAGACUCGGGGAGGGAGCUUUUCCACUAAACCUGACUCGUGUCUCCAAGCAGGAAGGGCGCACUGUGGGGCGGUGAGAGGUGUGGGUGCCAAGCUCACGGCUUGUCCCAUGGGGCCCUGGGGCCCCCCUGCUCCCCACACACCCACGGUCCCCAUCGGCCUGGAUGCGUUGCUCCACACCUGUUCUGUGUGGGUGGCCAGCACUCCGAAAUGGGGACAGAUCAAUGGCCUUUGCUCCAGGACCAAGGGCACCACCUGCAGAGGGAUGAAGACAGCCAGAGAGGCAGCCGCUCAGGGCCUGCCUCGCAGCAAGACCAUGUCUGUAUCUCGCACACUGGACGUACCCUCACUCCAGAGGGAACCUGGCAGGUCCAAGGGCUCUGGGCCUUCAGUGGGGCUGUGAGUCAGAAAUCCCUGAGCACCCCGCAUCCCAGGGAAAUCCCAGUUUUAGACCCAGGCUGGGGACUGCCAGACCCGGGCCCCCAGAGCUGCUGUGGUCUGGGGAAGAAGUUCCCGGAAAGUCACAGGAGCCGGGCUGUGUGCUCGCCGACGCAAAGCUGCCUGUUCUGCGUUGGGCCGUGUGCCCAGAGCCCAGCACACGGCCUGCUCCAGACUCGCCAGUCAGCGAAUUGAAUUAAACCACAUCAGCACGUGCGGCAAAUAAUUACUGAGUACUUGCCUCCCGUGGGCUGUGAGUUCCGGGCGGGCUCCGGGCACAGAGGAGCAGGCCGGGCAGGACGGUCUUUGCUCCCGGGUCGGGGGCGGCGCAGCCGGCACAGGUGCGGGCCGUCCUACACCCCCCGCGCGGAGCUUCUCCUGGGGCAGAGCCACGCCCUCUCUUGCACACCCCACGCCCCUUUCCUCCCAGUGCACACGCUCCUGCACACGCGCACGCACCACCGCCUGAGUGUAGGGACUGGGCAAGUGUGACUGCGUCUCCCGCCCUCUCCCUGUUCUUUGUUUCUUCCUUCCUUCCUCUUCUAUUUCCCUCCGUCCUCCCUUCCUUCCUGCCUUUCCUUUUUCCUUUCUUCUCUGCUCCCCCUUAUUUUCCCCACAACGCGGACACCAGUCAACACAAUAACACUCAACACAAAAAGAAGUGCUUAAAAGUGAGAAUUCGUUGCCUCUUUCCUGAAACACUGUUAAUUCCAAAAGAGUCUUUUUACAUUGUUUUGGUACAUUUAGACCACCCAAUUAGUAAACAGACAUAAACUGACACUGCUCUAAAUACAUUAUUUAUUUCGUUUAAAAAUUUACAAGAAGUCCAUCAAUAAUGCAUCCGAGUGGAGAAACAUAAAUUCGCUUUCGGCCGAGCCCCCAAAACCAGAUUGGACUCACCUUUCUCACUCCUCUGUC
Molecule: non-coding RNA, 5746 nt
Organism: Vicugna pacos (alpaca)
Lineage: Eukaryota; Metazoa; Chordata; Mammalia; Artiodactyla; Camelidae
Source: RefSeq, a predicted model, not a curated record